This 465-nucleotide ribosomal RNA is filed under the name Vreelandella stevensii. RNAcentral describes it as "partial 16S ribosomal RNA". It matches the Rfam family "Bacterial small subunit ribosomal RNA", at positions 338 to 795 of the family's 1533-position model. Lineage: Bacteria; Pseudomonadati; Pseudomonadota; Gammaproteobacteria; Oceanospirillales; Halomonadaceae. The record is from RNAcentral.
CCUACGGGUGGCAGCAGUGGGGAAUAUUGGACAAUGGGCGAAAGCCUGAUCCAGCCAUGCCGCGUGUGUGAAGAAGGCCUUCGGGUUGUAAAGCACUUUCAGUGGGGAAGAAAGCCUUGGGGCUAAUACCCUCGAGGAAGGACAUCACCCACAGAAGAAGCACCGGCUAACUCCGUGCCAGCAGCCGCGGUAAUACGGAGGGUGCGAGCGUUAAUCGGAAUUACUGGGCGUAAAGCGCGCGUAGGCGGUCUGAUAAGCCGGUUGUGAAAGCCCCGGGCUCAACCUGGGAACGGCAUCCGGAACUGUCAGGCUAGAGUGCAGGAGAGGAAGGUAGAAUUCCCGGAGUAGCGGUGAAAUGCGUAGAGAUCGGGAGGAAUACCAGUGGCGAAGGCGGCCUUCUGGACUGACACUGACGCUGAGGUGCGAAAGCGUGGGUAGCAAACAGGAUUAGAUACCCGGGUAGUC